This 6669-nucleotide long non-coding RNA is filed under the name Homo sapiens (human). RNAcentral describes it as "HSALNT0123554". The record is from RNAcentral. Lineage: Eukaryota; Metazoa; Chordata; Mammalia; Primates; Hominidae.
CACACUGCUGCUGUGUCUAAGGAGUAGCUAUUCUUUUAUUCCUUUACUUUCCUAAUAAAUUUGCUUUUGCUUUGCACUGCAGACUCGCCCAAAAUCCCUCCCUUCCUUCCUUCCUUCCCUCCUUCCUUCCUUUCUUUCUCUUUCUUUUUCUUUCUUUUCUUUCUUUCUUUUGACAGAGUCCUGCUCAGUCACCCAGGCUGGAGUGCAGUGGCACCAUCUCGGCUCACUGCAACCUCUGCCUCCCGGGUUCAAGAGAUUCUCCUGCCUCAGCUUCUGGAGGAGCCGGGAUUACAGGUGCACACCACCAUGCCCAGCUAAUUUUUGUAUUUUUAGUAGAGAUGGGGUUUCACCAUGUUGGCCAGAUUGAUCUCAAACUCCUGACCUCAAGUGAUCUGCCCGCCUUUGCCUCCAAAGUGCUGGGGUUACAGCCAUGAGCCACCACCCCCAGCUCUGCAUUCUUUCUUGUACGAGAUCCAAGAACCCACUCUUCGGUUCUGGAUUGGGACCAUUUCUGGAAUCUUCUUUUCAGUGAAUCACAAAAGGAUGAUGCUAAGGAAACGCCCAACCCAAAGGAAAUAGACUGAAUCGCCAAUUGGCUAACUUUUUGUGGUUUGGUGACUCUCGAACCAUGAUUCGGCAGACCUGUGAGGCUGUGAGUUCCCUAUUGGAACACAAUCUGCAGGUUGUAUUGUGCCAUAUACCUGGGACCAAAUUACAAGCACAAUGAUGAAUUUUUUACCUGGAGUCAAGACAUGUGCAGGAUGGUGGAACUUAUCACUGGACCUUUCCACAGUGUUAUUAUGACAUAUAACUUUGUCCAACAUAUGGAGUCUUACUCUGUCGCCCAGGCUAGAGUGUAAUGGUGUGAUCUUGGCUCACUGCAACCUUCACCUGGAAGGUCAAAGUCAUUCUCUUGCCUCAGCCUCCUGAGUAGCUGGGACUACAGGCAUGCUCCACCAUGCCCAGCUAAUUUUUUUGUAUUUUCAGUAGAGACAGGGUUUCACCAUGUUGGCCAGGCUAGUAUUGAACUCCUGACCUGUUGCGGGAAGUCAGGGACCCUGAACGGAGGGACCAGCUGGAGCCGCAGUAGAGGAACAAAAAUUUUGAAGAUUUCAUUUUAAUAUGGACAUUUAUCAGUUCCUAAAUAAUACUUUUAUAAUUUCUUAUGCCUGUCUUUAAUCUCUUAAUCCUAUUAUCUUUGUAAGAUGAGGAUGUAUGUCACCUCAGGACUACUGUGAUAGUUGUGUUAACUGUACAAAUUGAUUGUAAAACAUGUGUGUUUGAACAAUAUGAAAUCAGUGCACCUUGAAAAAGAACAGAAUAACAGUGAUUUUUAGGGAACAAGGGAAGACAACCAUAAGGUCUAACUGCCUGCAGGGUUGGGCAAAAAGAGCCAUAUUUUUCUUCUUGCAGAGAGCCUAUAAAUGGACAUGCAAGUAGGAGAGAUAUCACUAAAUUCUUUUCCUAGCAAGGUUUUAAUAUUAAUAUAUUAAAACCCUGGGAAAGGAAUGCAUUCCUGGGGGGUGGUCUAUAAACAUCCACUCUGGGAAUGUCUGUCUUCUGUGGUUGAGAUAAGAGCUGAGAUAUGCCCUGGUCUCCUGUAGUACCCUCAGGCUUACUAGGGUGGGGAAAAACUCCACCCUGGUAAAUAUGUGGUCAAAGCAGUUCUCUGCUCUCAAACUGUUUUCUGCACAUCAUGGUGUUUUUCCAUGAUGUGCUCUUUCUCUUAAAAAGACCUCUGAUUAAGUUUAGUCUAAUCAAGAUAAUCUCUUUUAUGAUAAACAGGAAGCCAAUACAUUAGUAACAUAAUUACAUGAAUAAUGUCCCACCACAGUCACACAUUUUGUCACACUCAAGAGAAAAGGAUUACAUAGCAGGUGUGCAGUGAAGUGGGAAUCUGAGGGUCACUUGAGAAUUUUGCCUACCCACUUGAAUAGAUUUCAAAAAUUGCCUUUCAGUUGCUUUUGUUGUCUUUCUAAGUAAACAAAGAUAUCAUCUGCAAAUAAUAAUUAAUUGAACUACUUUUCAAUUUUAUUCAUGAAUUACUUAUCUUUUUCUGGCUUGUAUGAAGUAUUUCUUAUUUAUAGUAUACAUUCACAUAUAUACAUAUAUAACAAUACAAAUGUAUCCAUUUUCAUUUUUGUUAAAUUUUUAAGAAUGGAUGUUAAAGGUAACUUCUUUUCUGUUUGACAGGGUUUUUAUUGUUGUAUUCAAGAGUAUUAUCUCUGGAGUCAAAGUUGCUUGUUUUUUAAUACUGGCUCUGCUAUUAUUUCUCUCCCUGGCAAGUUAUUUCUCUCCCUGGCUCUGUUUCUUUCUUUGUAAAUUAAAGAUAAUAAUGAUACCUUUGUUAUUAAGUUACUGUGUCUAAUAGUCCAUUCUCACAUUGCUAUAAGGACACACCCAAGACUAGGUAAAUUAUAAAGAAAAGAGGCUAAUUUGACUCACAGUUCAGCAUGGCUGGGGAGGCCUCAGGAACCUUACAAUAAUGGCAGAAGGUGAAGGAAAAGCAGGUAUCUUUUUCACUUAGUGAAGAACAGGAAAAAUUACCACUUAUAAAACCAUCCAAUCUCAUGAGAACUCACUCACUAUCAUGAGAACACCAUGAGUAUCAUUCUGCCCAUGGCCCCUUCCAAAUCUCACACCCUUUAUAUAUUUCAAAACCAAACAUGCUUUCCCAAGAGUCUCCCAAAAUCUUAACUUAUUUUAGCAUCAACCCAAAAGUCUAACUCCAAAGUCCAAUCUGAGACAAGGCAAGUCCCUGCUACCUAUGAGCCUGUAAAUCAAAAGCAAAGUAGAAACUUCUAAGAUACAGUGUGGGUACAGGCCUUAGAUAAGUUAUCCCAUUUCAAGUGGGAGAAAAUGGCCAAAACCAAAGAGCUACAGGCCUCAUGCAAUUUUGAAUUCCAACAGGGCAGUCAUUAAAUCUUAAAGCUCUGAGAUGAUCUCGUUUGACUCCAUGUCUCACAUGUGGGGCAUGCUGAUGCAAGGGGUGGGCCUCAUGACCUUGGGCAGCUCCUUCAUGGACUGGAAUUGAAUGCCUGUGGCUUUUCCAGGUGCACAGUGCAAGCUCAUGGCGGAUCUGUCAUUCUGGGGUCUGGAGUAUAGAGGCCUUCUCACAAGUCCAGUAGACAGCUUCAGGGGGGACUCUGCAUGAGGGCUCCAACCCCACAUUUCCCUUCUGCAUUGCCCUAUUACUGGUUCUCCAUGAGGGCUCUGCCCCUGUAGAAGACUUCUGCCUGAACAUCCAGGCAUUUUUAUCCAUCCUCUGAAAUCUAGGCAGAGGUUCCCAGAGCUCAACUCUUGUCUUAUGUUCACUGACAUGCCCAAUACCACAUGGAAGCUACCAAGGUUUGAGGAUUGCACUUUCUAAAGAAAUAACCCAAGCUGUACCUUGGCCCUUUUUAGCCACAGCUGGAUCUGGAGCAGCUGGGAUGCAGGGCACCAAGUCCCAAGACUUCAUAGAGUAAUGGGGCCCUGGACCUCGAACAUGAAACCAGUGUUUCCUCCUAGGGCGCCUGGCCUAUGAUGGAAGGACCUGCCUCAGACCUUUAACAUGACCUGAAGACAUUUUCCCCAUUGUCUUGGCUAUCAAUAUUCAGCUUCUCUUUACUUUUGCAAAUUUCUGCAGUGCCUCGAAUUUCUUUCCAAAAAAUGGGGUUUUAUAUUCUAAAUCAUGAUCAGGCUGCCAACUUUCCAAACUUUUAUGUUCUGCUUCCACUUUAAACAUAAGUUUUUCAUCUCCAUCUGAGACCACCUCAGCCUGGACUUUAUCAUCUAUAUCACUCUUAGCAUUUCAGUCAAAAGCAUUCAACAAGUCUCUAAGAAGUUCCAAACUUUCCCACAUUUUUCUAUCUUUUUCUGAUCUCUCUAAACUGUUUCAACCUCUGCCUAUUACCCAUUUCCAAAGUCACUUCCACAUUUUCAAUUAUCUUUAUAGUGCCCCAAACUCCCAGUAUUAAUUUUCUGUAUUAGUCUGUUUUCACACUACUAUAAAGAUACUACCAGAGAAUGGGUAAUUUAUACAGAAAGGAGGUUUAAUUUACUCACAAUUCUGCAUGGCUGGGGAGGUCUCAGGAAACCUGCAAUUACAGUGGAAGGUAAAGGAGAAGCAAGUACCUUCUUCACUAGGCAGCAGGAGAGAGAGCAGAAAAAAACCACCAGUUAUACAACCAUUAGAUCUUUUGAGAACUCACUUACAAUCAUGAGAACAGCAUGGGGGAAAAUUACCCUCAUGUUCCAAUCAACUCCCACCAAGUCCCUCCCUUAACAUGUGGGGAUUACAAUUUGUGAUAAGAUUUGGGUGGGAUAUGAUUUUACAGUAAUGAAUUCAAUACAAGACACAGAAUAUAGGUUUAUUUUUUUGAGGAUCUCUGAGGUUUCCAGGUUUUUUGUUAAUUAUCCACCUUAUUAAAAUAUUCUUUUUUGUUUCAAUAUUGUUCUUCUGUUCUGAAAAUGCAUACAGACUCACACACAAACACACUCACUUGCUACAUAACUUUCUUAUACAUAGGGUAUAUCUUUUUUUUUUUAAACGGUGUCCUGCUCUGUCAUCCAGGCUGGAGUGCAGUGGUGGCAUCUUGGCUCACCGCAACCUCUGCCUCCCAGGAUCAAGUGAUUCUCCUGCCUCAGCCUCCCUAGUAGCUGGAAAUACAGGCACGCAUCACCACGCCCAGCUAAUUUUUUGUAUUUUUAGUAAAGAUGGGGUUUCACCAUGUUGAUCAGGCUGGUCUUGAACUCCUGACCUCAAAUUAUUUGCCCCACUAGGCCUCCCAAAGUGCUGAGAUUACAGGCAUGAGCCACUGUGUCUGGCUGAUAUAUCUUUAGAGAAAUAUGUUUGUAUAUGUAACUCUAUGUAAAUCAAAACUAAAAGUCUGUUUUUGUUUGUCAGCAGAGAGGCACAUGUACAAAAAUACAUAUAAAACAAGUUUUUAAAAAUAUUUAAUCAAGACUCAGAAAUGUAUGGAUAUUAAUUAUAAUCAUGUAAUUUUUAUGAUCAUAAAAUGACCCUGUGGUUAAUAAUUCAAUUGCACAUAUUGAAAUAACUAAAACUGUAUAAUGGGAUUGUUUGUAAUACAAAGGAUAAAUACACGCUCGUGAUGAGGAAUACCUCAUUUACUCUGCUGUGAUAAUUAAAUAAUAUAUGCCUGUGUUAAAAUGUCUCAUAUAUGCUGUAAGUGUGUAUGUUGGGAACAAGCUCCCCAAAAUCUGGCCAUAAACUGGCCAUAAACAAAAUCUCUGCAGCACUGUGACAUGUUCAUGAUGGCCAUAAAGCCCACGCUGGAAGGUUGUGGGUUUACAAGAAUGAGAGCAAGCAACACCUGGCCUGCCCAGGGCGGAAAACCACUUAAAGGCGUUCUCAAACCACAAAAAUAGCAUGAGCAAUCUGUGCCUUAAGGACAUGCUCCUGCUGCAGAUAACUAGCCCAACCUAUUCCUUUAAUUUGGCCCAUCCCUUCAUUUCCCAUAAGGGAUACUUUUAGUUAAUUUAAUAUCUAUAGAAACAAUGCUAAUGACUGGCUUGUUCUUAAUAAAUAUGUGGGUAAAUCUCUGUUCGAGGCUCUCAGCUCUGAAGGCUAUGAGACCCCUGAUUUCCCACUUCACACUUCUAUAUUUCUGUGUAUGUGUCUUUAAUUCCUCUAGUGCCACUGGGUUAGGGUCUCCCUGACUGAGCUGGUCUUGGCAUGUGUAUGCACGCUAACUACCCACAAAAUUUUUUUAAAAAUCUAAAUAGGGUAAAAAAGAAUACAAAUUUGAUUUAUGAGAACAAAAUUCUUCAACUUAUUUUCAGUUUAGACCACUGGCAGGCCAGGUGUGGUGACCUCCGCCUGUAGCCCCAGCACUUUGGGAUGCUGACGUGGAUGGAUUACCUGAGGUCUGGAGUUCAAGACCAGCCUGGCCAACAUGGUGAAACCCCAUCUCUACUAAAAAUACAAAAAUUAUCCAGGCAUAGUGGCAUGUGCCUGUAGUCCCUGCUACUUGGCAGGCUGAGGCAGAAGAAUCACUUGGACCCAGGAGGUAGAGGUUGCAGUGAGCUGAGAUCAUGCCACUGCACUUCAGCCUGGAUGAAAAAGUGAGACUCCAUCUCAAGAAAAAAAAAACUGUUUUUAAAUAAAUUCUCUUAGGUUCAUUAUGCUUUGAGGGUUGGUUAAAGGCUUUGUUACAUUUUUUUACAUUUAUAAGAUUUUUGUCCAAUAUGAAUUCUCUUAUGUACAAUUAAGGUAUGGAACUAGAUAAAGGCUUGGCCACAUUCUCUACACUUGUAAUGCUUUCUUUCCAGUAUAAAUUAUUUUAUGUAUUAUAAGGUCUGAGGGCUGGACUUUGCCACAUUAUUUACAUUUGUAGGGUUUCUCUCCAGUGUGAAUUAUCUUAUGUUUAGCAAGACUUGAAUGCCACUUAAAAGCUUUGUCACAUUCUUCACAUUUGUAUGGUUUCUCUCCAGUAUGAAUUCUCUUAUGUGCCUUUACAGUUGAGGAGCAGUUAAAGGUUCUGCCACAUUCUUCACAUGUGUAGGGUUUCUCUCCAGUAUGAAUUAUCUUAUGUGUCUUAAGAGUCGAGGAGCAGUUAAAGGCUUUGCCACAUUCUUCACAUGUGUAGGGUUUCUCUCCAGUAUGAAUUCUCUUGUGGUAAAUGAGGGCUGAGGAUACGCUAAAGGCUUUGCCACAUUCUUCAC